UGGGGGAGCAGGUGGGACGUUGUGGGUCCAGCUAUCUCUGCGGCAGGCGAGUCCUAUUAUUAUCUCCAUGUUACAGACAAGAAAAUCGAGACAGACAGGCGUUAUGAGAGACUGUCAUAACCAAGUGUCACACACCAGGUAGCUUACACGGCUGAGGGCCAUUGUUGGGGUGAGACCCCGGCGUCAGUGGGACUGGUCCCAGGCCUGCCUCCUGCUCCCGGGGUUUGCUGGUGUGGCUGGGGCUCCUCGCUUGUGCAGGCUGUCAGCUGCCACAGCCCCACUCCUACUGGACUGGGGCCCACCAGGCCAGGAUGACCUUAUCUGAACCACAUGUGCAAGUGGCCCCUCUUCCACAAAGUCACAUCCGGGGCACUUAAAUACGGAGGGGGUGGGGAGAAGGAGACAGAGAUCGGCCCUCAGCAGGUGUGAUCGAGGUCAUGCCAAGCCAACAGGCAGGACAAUGCCCGGCAGCCUGAGUAGACUCAGGCAGCUGCCUGAGCCGGUGGCUGGCCUGCAGGGGUCGGGGCAGGGUCCCCGAGAGACCUGGAGCCUGGUGGCGACGGAAAACCAACCAUGUUCUAACUGCCGGCUCUGCUCCUGGUGCUGUCUGUGCUCUGUGAACACAAAGCCCACUUCAGUCUUCAAAGAAGAUGUUGAAAACCUCAAACCUCGGGGAAACAGCCCCUCUGCCUCCCCUCUCUCCUGCCGGCCUCCCAGGGAAGAGCCACUCUGGGCUCUCCAUAGUGGCCACAGGGCCUGUCCGUGGCUUGCAGGCCGGGUGCUGCCCGCGUGGCCCUCUGGAAAGUGACAGUGCCUCCCAUGCUGGCCCCCUGCCCCAGUGAUGUCACGGAGGAGCCAAAAAGGAGGAUGGGGCUGCCGGGUAUGCGGAAAACGCCGUUUUCUUUUGCAGACGGAAAAAACCACCGCAAGUUCCCUGUUUGUUCAAAUACGAAGCGUAUUUAUGGAGCAAAAAGGGUUGGUGUCGCCAUUCAGCCCCCUGCCAGGAAAUGGGCUUGGUUUUUUUCUGUCUCCUUGGGACACCCUGUCCCCUGGUGACCCAAGCUGACUCUUCAGGGUUGGGGGCUGGACCCUGGCCCCUGGCUCUGAGACCUCCCCUCCCCCAGCCUCUGGCAUCUCGAGCCCACGCCUCUGCACUUGGAGAAUGGGCAGUGAGGAGUCAAGUGUGCCACCGGCUUCCUCUAUCACUUUUUCAAAGAUUUGUUUAUUUGGAGGGCCGGCACCGUAGCACGGCGUCUCAAGCAGCAGCUUAAACUGCUGUGCCCCAACAUCAACACCCACCCAUCACUUACUUGUUUGCAAAAUGGGAACUCACACACAUAUACCUGCCUGUCUCAUGGAUUAAAAGUGACCUAAUAGGGAUCUGUGCUGUGGUAUAGUAGGUUAAGUCUCCACCUGUGAUGUCAGCAUCCCAUAUGGACGCCAAUUCAAGUCCCAGCUGCUCCAGUUCCAAUCCAGCUCCCUGCUAAUGCACCUGGGAAAGCAGCAGAGGAUGGCCCAAGUCCUUGGAUCCCUGCACCGAUGUGGGAGACCAGAAUGAGGCUCCUGGCUUCAGCCUGGGCCAGCCCCAACCAUUGUGUCGAUUUGGGGAGUGAACCAGUGGAUGGAAGAUCCUUGUCUCUGUCUCUGUCUGUCUCUCUCUCACUCUCUGUAACUCUACCUUUCAAAUAAAUAAAUCUUAGAGGCCA
This 1706-nucleotide long non-coding RNA is filed under the name Oryctolagus cuniculus (rabbit). RNAcentral's name for it is "lncRNA (ENSOCUG00000030554.1)". Lineage: Eukaryota; Metazoa; Chordata; Mammalia; Lagomorpha; Leporidae. The record is from RNAcentral.